RNAcentral lists this ribosomal RNA (292 nucleotides) under uncultured bacterium. RNAcentral describes it as "partial 16S ribosomal RNA". It matches the Rfam family "Bacterial small subunit ribosomal RNA", at positions 505 to 796 of the family's 1533-position model. The record is from RNAcentral.
GUGCCAGCCGCCGCGGUAAGACAGGGGGUGCAAACGUUGCUCGGAAUCACUGGGCGUAAAGCGCACGUAGGCGGUUCUGUAAGUCAGAUGUGAAAGCCCUCGGCUCACCCGAGGAACUGCGUCUGAUACUGCGGGGCUUGAGGACGGGAGGGGAGAGUGGAAUUCCUGGUGGAGCGGUGAAAUGCGUAGAUAUCAGGAGGAACACCGGUGGCGAAAGCGACUCUCUGGUCCGUUCCUGACGCUGAGGUGCGAGAGCUAGGGGAGCAAACGGGAUUAGAAACCCUAGUAGUCC